RNAcentral lists this ribosomal RNA (465 nucleotides) under uncultured bacterium. RNAcentral's name for it is "partial 16S ribosomal RNA". It matches the Rfam family "Bacterial small subunit ribosomal RNA", at positions 28 to 507 of the family's 1533-position model. The record is from RNAcentral.
GACGAACGCUGGCGGCGUGCUUAACACAUGCAAGUCGAACGGAAAGGCCCUGCUUGCAGGGUACUCGAGUGGCGAACGGGUGAGUAACACGUUGGUGAUCUGCCCUGCACUUCGGGAUAAGCCUGGGAAACUGGGUCUAAUACCGGAUAGGAGCCAUUUUUAGUGUGAUUGUUGGUAAGAUUUUUCGGUGUAGGAUGAGCUCGCGUCCUAUCCGCUUGUUUGUGGGGUAAUGGCCUACCAAGGCGGCGCGGGGUAGCCGGCCUGUGAGGGUGGACGGCCACAUUGGGACUGAGAUACGGCCCAGACUCCUACGGGAGGCAGCAGUGGGGAAUAUAGCACAAUGGGCGCAAGCCUGAUGCAGCGACGCCGCGUGGGGGAUGACGGCCUUCGGGUUGUAAACUCCUUUCGCUAGGGACGAAGCUUUAUGUGACGGUACCUAGAUAAGAAGCACCGGCUAACUACGUG